Molecule: ribosomal RNA, 119 nt
Organism: Ochotona princeps (American pika)
Lineage: Eukaryota; Metazoa; Chordata; Mammalia; Lagomorpha; Ochotonidae
Source: Ensembl
GUCUACGGCCAUACCACCCUGAACACACCGCAUCUUGUCUGAUCUCGGAAGCUAAGCAGGGUCGGGCCUGGUUAGUACUUGCAUGGGAGACAACAUUAUGGAGUUAAUUGACAUGGUAC